Molecule: transfer RNA, 58 nt
Filed under: Palleon lolontany
Lineage: Eukaryota; Metazoa; Chordata; Lepidosauria; Squamata; Chamaeleonidae
Description: tRNA-Ser
Source: RNAcentral
AAGAGGGCCCAAAGAACUGCUAACUCGUGUACCUGAGAUUAACACUUCAGAACUCUUU